AAGUCGUAACAAGGUUUCCGUAGGUGAACCUGCGGAAGGAUCAUUAUAAAGCACCCCUAACGGGGCCGCCUUCAUUCUUGCCGUCUUACCUUGCUUUGGCGUAAAGCCACUAGCUCCCACACUCUGUCUGUCCCAUUCUUAACUAUAAAAACUUUCAACAACGGAUCUCUUGGUUCUG
This 178-nucleotide unclassified non-coding RNA is filed under the name air metagenome. RNAcentral's name for it is "partial contains small subunit ribosomal RNA, internal transcribed spacer 1, and 5.8S ribosomal RNA". The stretch from base 1 to 46 matches the Rfam family "Eukaryotic small subunit ribosomal RNA", at positions 1786 to 1831 of the family's 1831-position model. The record is from RNAcentral.